UGGGGAAUAUUGGACAAUGGGCGAAAGCCUGAUGCAGCAACGCCGCGUGCGGGAAGAAGGCCCUCGGGUUGUAAACCGCUUUCAGAAGGAACGAAACUGACGGUACUUUCAGAAGAAGGUGCGGCCAACUACGUGCCAGCAGCCGCGGUGACACGUAGGCACCAAGCGUUGUCCGGAUUUAUUGGGCGUAAAGAGCUCGUAGGCGGUUCAGUAAGUCGGGUGUGAAAACUUUGGGCUUAACCCAAAGCGUGCAUCCGAUACUGCUGUGACUUGAGUACGGUAGGGGAGCGGGGAAUUCCUAGUGUAGCGGUGAAAUGCGCAGAUAUUAGGAGGAACACCGGUGGCGAAGGCGCCGCUCUGGGCCGAAACUGACGCUGAGGAGCGAAAGCAUGGGUAGCAAACAGGAUUAGAUACCCAGGUAGUCCCUGAGCGGGCUGGCAAGGCGCAU
RNAcentral lists this ribosomal RNA (448 nucleotides) under uncultured bacterium. Its description in RNAcentral is "bacterial SSU rRNA". It matches the Rfam family "Bacterial small subunit ribosomal RNA", at positions 355 to 825 of the family's 1533-position model. The record is from RNAcentral.